GCCGCCGCCACCCCUGUCCAUUCCCUACCUUUCUUCCUCGGUAUCCCCUUAUUCCUCCCAGAUCCAAUCCACCAGCCACUGCUCUCCAUCGCAUCACAACAUCGACCAACCACCGCACAGCCAGCCACCUCCCUGACCCAGCGCUCGAUCCAGAUGGGAUUGAGGCAACCACCGGUGUCCUCCUCGACGCCUCCCCUCGCGUUGUGCCGCCAGCCUCCUCUCCGGCCAGUCCCGUCCCCUGCUCCUACCCUUCGCCAUGGCCGCCCUGAGCUCCAGCCAUGGACAGCCGCUGCCGGAGCUCGUCUUCCCCGCCGUCGGCUAGAGCCCUAGGCCAGUGACCCAAGCCUCUUCCUUCCUUCCCUUUUCCCUCACGCACUCUCUUCCUCCUCCAUGACCUCUCUAUCUUCCUUGACGCCAUGGAAAGGAGCACUCAACCGUGGUACAGUCGACUCCGGUCCGUCCAGCGACCUCCGUGCCUCGUCGCCGAUCAGAUUCGUGCCUCCUCCGUCGUUUCCCACGCCGGACCCCGCUACUGCCUCCCCUGCUUCUGCUGCGCGAGGACGACGACGCAUCCAGCAAGCGCCCGCUCAUCCCAGCCACGUUGACCGCCUCCCUCCGAACUCACCGGCGUCACCACGGAGCUUCCCCGACCUCUCCUUCACUCUGACCCACGUCUCUGGUGGCCUUGUCGUCGUCGUCACCUAGGAGCUCGUCCGUUUCCCGAGAUCUCCACCGACCGCGCCCUUCGACGGGAACCACGUCGUCCGGCUCGUCCCGCCUCCUGCGGGCCUCCCCGUCGCCUGCCGGAGUUCCUGCUGCCGCCAUCGUCGUUCGAGGCUAGUGCCUCUGCUUCGAACCAGGGUGCCGACGCCUCCAGCGCCUGCGUUGACCGAGCACAGCCUAGCCGACCCAGUUCGCCUCUGCCUCACAGGGCCAAGCCCAUGGGUGAGCAGCCCCCUCCAACCCCUCUCCUGUGCUAUUUGGCCCAGACAGAUUUGGCCCAUUCUUGUUUUUUCCCGUUCCAGCGAAUUUAGCAUUAUUCCAGGAAUUACAGAAUUGCAGAAAACCCCUCAGACAUCAUGAAUAUAAUAACUAAUUAACCAUGCAUCGGAUUAAAAUAUUUUACAUAUGUAAAAUGCUUAGAAUUUUAUGUAGAUUAAUAAUUUGCCACUUUCAUCCAUGUUAAAAAUAUUUAAAUUGUUGUUUGCAUUUAUUUUGCAUAAUGUCAUGCUAAAAUAAUUUAUUUCCUAACUAAACAACCGUAGCUCCGAAUUAAAUAAACUUCAUAUGUAAAUGGGGUAGAAAAAUGCGUAGAUUAACUUGGUGCACUUAUUUUGGAUGUUUAUCAACAAUAAAAUAUGGUUUAGGGCAGAACAGUACCAAACUCGAAAAAUGCAUAUGAGGAUUUUCCGGAAUUGUUGUUUGUUAUUUCCGGCCUAAUUUAAACUUGCCUAAACAGGUAGUUUACUCAUGCUUCACCUCUUGCCAUGUUAACCAACAUUUAAUAUUGAUGAGUAGCUAAACGAGAAUGAACUAAAUAAUUGUUGUGCAUAUUGAGCUGCACUUAAUUUGUUUUAUUGUUUGUUGCACCUUGCCAUGCCAUGAAUCAUUAAACCGGACAUGCAUCACACUCGAUUGUGCAUCAUGCCAUGUUUAUGUGAUGAUCAUUUACUAUGUUGUUUGCUUCUUUCCGGUUGCGUUUCUCCUUGAUAGUUCCGGUUAUGUUGCGAUUUUGAGGAUCCGUCCGAGUACGUUGGUUCGUCUACUUCAUGGAUUCGGUCUUCUUCCUAGCGGGAUUUCAGGCAAGAUGACUGUCACCUUGGAUCCCACGACUGAGACGAGAUACGCGCGGCUACUAUCAGGGUGUCGGCACGUCGAGAGGUCUUGAUAGACUUGUUUUACCAUUGUCGAAAUGUCUUGUGCAUCGGGAUUCCGAGUCUGAUCGGAGGGUCCCGAGAUGGAGGAUUGUCUUCGCAGAUCGUGAGCUUGUCAUGGGCUAAGUUGGGACACCCCUGCAGGGUUUAAACUUCCGAGAGCCGUGCCCGCGUUUAUGUGGCAGAUGGGAAUUUUUAAUAUCUGGUUGUAGAGAACUUGACACCAGACCUGAAAUAAAAUACACCAAUUGCGUGCGUAACCGUGACGGUCUCUUUUCGAGUGAGUCGAGAAGAGAACACGGUGGGGUUAUGUUUGAACGUAAGUAGUUCAGGAUCACUUCUUGAUCAUUACUAGUUUGCGACCGAUUGCAUAGUUUCUCAUCUCACUCUUGUACUCGUAAGUUAGCCACCAUACAAAUGCUUAGUCGCUUGAUGCGACCUCACCACUUAUCCAUUCCAUUCCCACGAAGUUUGCUAGUCUUGCUACCCAUGGUAAUGGGAUUUCUGAGUCCUUGUGGCUCACAGAUUACUACAACAACAGUUGCAGGUACAGGUAAUGCGGUGAUCUCACGUGAGAGCGAGGCUUGAUUGCUUUUGGAGUUCUUCUUCUUCGAUCAAGGGAUAGGUUCCGGGUCGAGGAGCCUGGGCUAGCAGGGUGGAUGUCGUUCUUCCAUUUCGUUUGAUUUCAUACGUAGUCGGAUCCUGCUCUUCUGUAUGACGAUUGCUAUGUAUUGAUGAACUAUUGUAUUCAUGAUGUAGCUUGUGGCGAGUGUAAGCCUUUAUCUUGUAUUCUCACCUAUUCAGUACAUGGUAUGUGUAAUAAUAUCCACCUUGCUAUGCGCUCGAAAUGCGGUUGUGCCUCAAUCAUGAAUUCAUCACGUGAUUGGGAUAGAAUCGCAUCUUGGGUGUUACACCUGAGCACAGAUGCCGUGCCAGUCCUUAAUCAUGAGGCGGUCGUGGGUCGGCUCACAAGGGCAUACGACCUUCAUGGCGAUGAAGCACCGGGCAAACAGACGAUAAUCAUAAAGCAACUCAUGGAGUAAGGUAAAGCCAGUUCUGAUAGACGCAAGAAG
This 2947-nucleotide ribosomal RNA is filed under the name Triticum aestivum (bread wheat). RNAcentral's name for it is "partial small subunit ribosomal RNA". The record is from RNAcentral. Lineage: Eukaryota; Viridiplantae; Streptophyta; Magnoliopsida; Poales; Poaceae.